GACGAACGCUGGCGGCGUGCUUAACACAUGCAAGUCGAACGGUAAGGCCCUUCGGGGUACACGAGUGGCGAACGGGUGAGUAACACGUGGGUGAUCUGCCCUGCACUUCGGGAUAAGCCUGGGAAACUGGGUCUAAUACCGGAUAGGACUCCGGACUGCAUGGUCUGGGGUGGAAAGCUUUUGCGGUGUGGGAUGGGCCCGCGGCCUAUCAGCUUGUUGGUGGGGUGAUGGCCUACCAAGGCGACGACGGGUAGCCGGCCUGAGAGGGUGACCGGCCGCACUGGGACUGAGAUACGGCCCAGACUCCUACGGGAGGCAGCAGUGGGGAAUAUUGCACAAUGGGCGCAAGCCUGAUGCAGCGACGCCGCGUGAGGGAUGACGGCCUUCGGGUUGUAAACCUCUUUCAGCACGGACGAAGCGCAAGUGACGGUAUGUGCAGAAGAAGGACCGGCCAACUACGUGCCAGCAGCCGCCGUAA
This 478-nucleotide ribosomal RNA is filed under the name uncultured bacterium. RNAcentral's name for it is "partial 16S ribosomal RNA". It matches the Rfam family "Bacterial small subunit ribosomal RNA", at positions 28 to 523 of the family's 1533-position model. The record is from RNAcentral.